CCCCCGCGCCGCAGCCGGCAUCGCGGCGGGACCCGGAGCCCGGAGUUCGGGUGGGUAACCCGAGCUCUCCAAGCUCUUGAAGCCGCGAGGGUGGCUUAGCUUCGGUGUUUUGGCUGAGAACACCCUUAAAGCUUAAAAUAAAACCUGCCUCUGGGGUGCAGGGGAGGAGAGAGGAGGACGCGAAUCACACCCGCUGCUGCGCGCCAGCCCGCCCCGUCUGUACAAUGGGAUGCUCGGGACUCGGACGGGAGGAUCCAGUGACUGCGAGCCCCGCAUUCGCCCGAUCCCAGCCUCACACCCCCAGCCAGCCCCCAGAGACCCUCCCACACUUACGAAGGAAAUGCAUGCGGCCAGGAGGAGAAUCCGCACCAGGAGCAGGGAGCUCUACCCAGGAAAAAGAAGAAAAGGACAGAUUCAUUUGGGGUUCAGCCUCAUGCCCCCCACACCCAAGACUUUGUGGCUAAGAGAAUCAGGCCACCUUGAGGUUCAUCAAGUUCAUCCCAUUAAAACCUCCCAAAACUCUGGA
This 526-nucleotide long non-coding RNA is filed under the name Homo sapiens (human). RNAcentral describes it as "non-protein coding ATP2A1-AS1:11". The record is from RNAcentral. Lineage: Eukaryota; Metazoa; Chordata; Mammalia; Primates; Hominidae.